Long non-coding RNA from Vitis riparia (riverbank grape), 759 nucleotides. RefSeq lists it as uncharacterized. The record is from RefSeq and is a predicted model, not a curated record. The transcript has 2 exons. Lineage: Eukaryota; Viridiplantae; Streptophyta; Magnoliopsida; Vitales; Vitaceae.
GAGCUGAACUGUGAGAAAAUAUUCUUGGAGGGGGGCAGAUUCUAGUCUGGGGGACCAUUUUCCGGUGAGGAGCUGUUGGAGAGGAUCCAUUGGGUAGCUGUUUUAGAGAAAGGGGUAAAGAGGGAAGGCUGUUUUUGAGAGAGAGAGAGUAAGUGUGUCUUGGAGGACAAGAAAGCAGAGCAGAGAAGAAGAAGAGCAGAGGAGAAGAAGAAGCUGGGAGUUCUCGCUGGCUUUGGAGGAAGAAAGAGUGCUUGAAGACGAGCACACCUUGCUCGGGGAGGAAACUUCCAGGAUGCAGGGGAGGAAAAGGGGUGUGAUGAUUAUUUGUUGAGGUCAUUGGGGUUGUGACACAGUACAAUGGUGCCUUCAAUGAUGGACUUACAUAGAAUUUUUGGCCCCCAUCAUAUCUCCGUUUACAUGGUGGAAAAGCCUAUUAUGGUGUGUAAAGUGAUCUGCUGUUCCAAGGGAUGUCCUGUUGCAGCUUCACUCGCUGGUUUUCAAGCUUGAAGCCUCAACACCUCAGAGUUUGGAGUAAAAUGUUGUCAAACUCUGCUUUUUGCUUCAUCUUUUCUAAUAUUUCCAUCUUAUCAUCAUUUUAUCCAUGAAGGGGGAAGGAAAAUUUUGAUGUAAACAAAGUUAAUACUAUUGCUGGAUUCAGUGAAUAUUGUAUUUAGUAUACAUAAGUUAUCUGUACUAUGAGACCAUUGGAGGGGUCCUAAUCACUUUCUAUUUGCUGAAUUGAUAUAUUUUUUUCUCACA